Molecule: ribosomal RNA, 497 nt
Filed under: uncultured bacterium
Lineage: Bacteria
Description: partial 16S ribosomal RNA
Rfam family: Bacterial small subunit ribosomal RNA
Source: RNAcentral
GAUGAACGCUGGCGGCGUGCCUAAUACAUGCCAGUCGAGCGAACGGACGAGAAGCUUGCUUCUCUGAUGUUAGCGGCGGACGGGUGAGUAACACGUGGAUAACCUACCUAUAAGACUGGGAUAACUUCGGGAAACCGUAGCUAAUACCGGAUAAUAUUUUGAACCGCAUGGUUCAAAAGUGAAAGACGGUCUUGCUGUCACUUAUAGAUGGAUCCGCGCUGCAUUAGCUAGUUGGUAAGGUAACGGCUUACCAAGGCAACGAUGCAUAGCCGACCUGAGAGGGGGAUCGGCCACACUGGAACUGAGACACGGUCCAGACUCCUACGGGAGGCAGCAGUAGGGAAUCUUCCGCAAUGGGCGAAAGCCUGACGGAGCAACGCCGCGUGAGUGAUGAAGGUCUUCGGAUCGUAAAACUCUGUUAUUAGGGAAGAACAUAUGUGUAAGUAACUGUGCACAUCUUGACGGUACCUAAUCAGAAAGCCACGGCUAACUACGUG